UACGGGGGGGGCAAGCGUUGUUCGGAAUUACUGGGCGUAAAGGGCGCGUAGGCGGUCAGACCAAGUCGAGUGUGAAAUUCCAGGGCUUAACUCUGGCACACUCGCUCGAUACUGGUCGGCUAGAGUGUGGAAGAGGAUGCUGGAAUUCCCGGUGUAGCGGUGAAAUGCGUAGAGAUCCGGAGGAACACCAGUGGCGAAAGCGGCCACCUGGACUGUACCUGACGCUGAGGCGCGAAAGCUAGGGGAGCAAACGGG
This 255-nucleotide ribosomal RNA is filed under the name uncultured bacterium. Its description in RNAcentral is "partial 16S ribosomal RNA". It matches the Rfam family "Bacterial small subunit ribosomal RNA", at positions 524 to 776 of the family's 1533-position model. The record is from RNAcentral.